Chinchilla lanigera (long-tailed chinchilla) is the source of this 2410-nucleotide long non-coding RNA. RefSeq lists it as uncharacterized. The transcript is spliced from 3 exons. The record is from RefSeq and is a predicted model, not a curated record. NCBI's taxonomy places the organism in Eukaryota, Metazoa, Chordata, Mammalia, Rodentia, Chinchillidae.
UCUGUCCAUGCAGCUAAGAAUGCAGCUUCUAAUUCCCUCUUCCUUGUGUUUACAUGAACUUUCCUUUGCAUUUCAGAAGCCUUAUGGAAAGAUUCCUGUGGCUGACCCAGGAGUAGUGGUGAAUUUCUCCAUCAAAAUAUCUUCACAACAACGCUACAAGGAACAUGAAUAUGGCAUCUUUUCCAGAAGUGUGGAGCAAACUAACUUUGCGGACCAAGGUGAAAGCAAGUCAUGGAAGUAGCUCAUAAUUGUGCCGCUGUGUGUACGGUGGUACAGUGCUCAAUUCAAGCCCAGGAUGUGCAAAGCAAGACAAAAAGCAAUAGUAUGUGGAGGAGACUGCUAGGAGGUGCAAAGUGAUAACCACAGAAACAGAAGGGAAAAUAAUUGAGAGACUGGACUGAGGUGAAAAGAUGGUAGAUGUCGCUCGUUCUUUUUGUGGGAGUGUGUUUGGUUUUUUAUGCUUUACAUUGUAUAUUUGUCUCAAAGGAGUAUCAGACUCACUUCGUCAGACUUACAAACAAAUCCAACCUAUGUUUCAUUGUACCUGAAUGGAACUCCUGUCGGGAACCUACUGUACACAUGUUACAUAAGUACUCCAUGCAUAUUUAUUUAUAUUGUAACAUUAAAAAAAGCUAUAAAAUACAAAAUAAAAAGCUCAACCCUGUAUAGAAUUUUACCUUACAGUUUUAAACAUUGUAUAAGAUAUAAUCCAAAUUUUUAUCACUGAGAAAGAAAUUCACUUGUACCAAUUAGAAGUCACUGCAUUUCUCUAAACUACUGAUAACCACUACUCUAUUUCCUAUCUUUAUGCAGAUUUUCCUACUAUGGAUAUAAAUAGAAUAAUAUAAUAUAUGACAUUUUAUUCUAAUGUUUCACUUAGCAAAGUAUUUGAAAUAUUUGCCCAUGUUAUACCAUGUAUCAAAACAUGGAUGAAUAUUUUACUUAACUGGUUAUACCAUAUUUUGUUUAUCCAUUUAUCAGCUAAUAGACAGUUGAGUUGCUUCCAAAUUGGAACUAUUGAAUAUGCUGUUGUGAAUAUUUAUGUACAAUAAAUUGUGUGAACAUGUUUUUGAGUCCCUUUGUUACAUGCUUAGAAGUAGAAUUGCUGGGUAGUAGUGUAACACUUUAUUGGUUUGAAGAAUUACCAAAAUUUUUUCCAAGAUAGCUAUACUAUCUUACAUUAAUAUCAGCAGUGAUGUGGGUUUUGACUUCUCCACUGCUUUACUUACAUUUAUUUUUGUCCAUCUUUUUUAAUGGUAGCGAUCUUACUGUGAACGAAUACUGUCUUGUUUGUAUCUCUCUAGUGACUCAUGCUGAACACCUUUCAUGGGGUUUGUGUAUCUUCUUUUGAAAAUAUAUCUACUUAAAUUUUCCCGUUUCUUAAUUAAUAUAUUUGGCUUGUUACUAUUGAACUGUAAGAGAUCUUUAUGUGUUCUAGAUACUAAAUUCUUGUGAGAUCUAUGAUUUUCAAAAAUUUUAUUUCACUGUGUAGCUUUUUCUUACUUUCCUGAUAGAGUCUUUUGAAGAAGAAACAUUGUAAAUUAUGAUGAAGUCCAAUUUAAGUUCCUUUUCUUUAGUUGCUGGUACUGUAAGUGUUAUAUUUAAUUGUCACCUACUAUUAGAGAAGAGAAAGGCAAAAGGAGGGUGUUAAAGCAGGGAGGGCAGACAGGGUAGGAGGGAAGGCUGAUACAACUAAAGCUUGACAUGUGUGGAAAUGUCACAGUGAAUUCUAUUAAUUUGUAACAUUGAUAUUUAUAAUUUUAUCCUAGGUCAUGAAAUUUUCUUCUAUGAAUUUUAUAGUUCUGUAUUUAUGCUUAGAUCCUUGACAUUUUUUAAUCAUAGCCUUCCAGAUAUUCACUGUGCUAUUGAUAAAGGACAGCUGAGGACCUGAAGGAUCGGAACUGAAAGUAGUCAAGGAAUCAAAGCCCAGCAUAAAAGGCACCCUUUCAAGGUUGAAAGAGGGAGUAAAAGUCAUCACAGAGAUUUGCAUCGGUCCCCUACCUCCUGUAUGGCAAUGUUCACCCACCAGAACAAGAAGGGAGCGUGCGCAAACUUCAGUGCAUGGGAAAACAUCGGGCGAACACCCUGUGUGCUGGGCUGGCUCUAGAUGGAGAUAUUAUAAAUGUGAGUCCUGUUGUCCAGUAGACAAGUGAACAAUUCUGUGAAAAAUUACACCUAAUCAAGACACUUAGUGACUGAUCUUUUAGUGUCCUUUUAUGUGCUUUAGAAAAGUUGAUUUCUUGCUAGGAUUGUGGCCAGAGGACAGGUCAACCUUGUCUGAACCUGUAACCAAAAUAGAAACCGCAUUGUAUCUAAGCAAAAACUGUUUAACCUGUCAAGUUUCAUAAGUAAUUGCAAAAGUAUACAAUAAAGCAAAAAACAUUUCUCUGCGUCAGAGGAGCCUUGCUCC